This is a long non-coding RNA of Chinchilla lanigera (long-tailed chinchilla), 2441 nucleotides long. The record is from Ensembl. Lineage: Eukaryota; Metazoa; Chordata; Mammalia; Rodentia; Chinchillidae.
CUCCCAUCUGCUCUGCCAGAAACCAUGAUGAAAGAACAAGGUUCACAAAGUAGGAAUCUGCAGCUAUUUGUGAGCAUGUGGAUAGAGGUCCAGAUUAGAAGACUGUGCUUAUACAUGUGCAGCAAAAUGGCCCCAGGAAUCGUUCCCACAAUAGCUUUCGGGCAAACCAGUCAACUGAGUAAUGAAAAACCGACCAAUUGGUCUCGAGACUGUGAUGAACAGAGCUUCAAGUUAGCCUCUACCUUCCUGUGUGCGUCCUCAUCGGAGAUCAGUUGGCUUCCAGCCCCUGGCGAGCACCAGCCCGCUCCUCCCUGCCCUCCUUGCAAGAUGCUCAGAACCCUCUGCUAGCAGGUGAAGUUAAAGGAGCUCUGAAAACUCCCAAAGAGCACCUGUGCACACAAUUAAGAAAGUGUAUUUUUAGUGCAUGUUUAUUUUCUCAUUGUUAUUACUUCAUUAUGUGACUUCUUAGUGACCCUGAUGACUCAUUUGCAUCCAGAUCAUUAAAACCCUUUCAUUUGUCCAUUUAAACUGACUUGGGGUUUUAGCUAAUUAUCACUUCCUGGCAGCCUGAAGGUCAGACUAUUUCCUUUUGUUUCGCUCGGCAGUUAAUCCCCUCAUUAAAGGCGCUGGGAAAUGAAUAAUUAAACAUGUGCCAUUUUCAUAUUUCAGGUAAUGAGAGGCCCUCAGAUCCCGGAGGAUGCCUAAGAGGAAAAGCCAGGGGAGUGGUGAAGACGCUCUCUCCCGCACACAUGCCAUGGACUGUACAGAGGAAGGGUGGCCCCCUCCAAACCGCAGAGUGCAGGGAAAGUUGAACAGAGGAAGGAAGUCUCCCCCGAGGUUGGAAAGAUGACUAAAAUUUGGUUGGCCGAGAGAAGGGAAAAGAUGAUUCAAGUAAGUGAGGAAUGUGAGCACCGUGGGAAGGGUCUGGGCUGCACUCACAGCAGGACGUUGUCUGUGAGUCUACGACAGGCAGCACAGGGAAGGGACGCUGACCAGCGGGGGACAGUCCGAGGGUGGAGUGGAGGGCUGGCACUGUCUCCUGCCAUCAGUACAGAUGGCAGAGAAGGAACGAACAGGGCGAACCAGGAAAGAGCCCAUCCAGAGCUGCCCAGCAGACGUGCGGCGGACACGUUACCAAAAGGUCUGUGGGGCAGCGGCAGCCUGCACUCUGUCACAGGAGAAAGGAGGCUCUUCUCUUCUCCGUGGAACAUGGAAGCAUCUGAUAAAGAGAAGCCGUAAAGGCCUAGAUUUAAGAGGGUGAGGCUCCUAGCUGGAAAGAUCGGGCCCCCAACUGCUGGUGACAAGUAGGAUGUCCUUAUGAAAGCCGUCUGAACUUCCUGAAUGUGAGUUUUCUCACAUGUAAAGUGCAGAUAGAAAUAAUAAUUACUCUGUGGGGCUGUUGGGGGACAAAAUGACCACAGCAGAAAUGAAGAGCUCUACUGACACCAGUGCACACUCAGUAGAUGGCAGAAAGAUACUGGCCGUAUCCAGCACUAAGCCGGUGGGAAGGUCACCGUCCAGAAACAUCCCCACGUGGUGACAGGAGGUUUAUGAUGGAGCCGCCUGGGUAACCAUUGCUUUGUCCAGCCCCAAAGUCUGCUGCUGAAGUGGGGCUGGGUGGGGCAAGAGACAAAGGGCAGGAGAGCAGCCCGAGGGUGCUGACGCUUUCAGGAGCUGACCCAGGAGGGGCCCGUGCUCACACUAGAUGAACCCGCAUCCUCUGUCAACAAUGCCUAAGCAGGUGACGUAAGGCGGCGAUGAGGAGCGGGAGUCCUUGCCGAAUGACUUCCUGUCCCGGGACCUUUCAUGCCCUACGCACCCCCGAUGUUCAGAUUCUGUCUGGAAACACCCCGUUCCCAAACGUGCGCUGGGUUCCCUCUUCCUCACAUUGUGGCCCAGUUUGGAUGACCAACUCUUUUUACUUCUUGCUAAUGCAAUAAAUCAAACUGUAGUUUUACUUCCAUUUUUUGGAUACUAGCGAGACUGGGUGUCUUUUCACAUAUAUAUGGGCCGUUUGUGUUUUCUCUGAGCUUUCCACUGACUGACUUACAUGACAGAAGGGAGUUAUCUUUGGAGUCAGUCUGAGUGCAGCAUUCACUGUGGCCGCUCCUCUUAUAUUUCGUUUACCUUUUUAAACUUCCUGCCUCUGAUUAGUCUAUUUAAUUUUUGAAAGUGUAUGAUAUUUAAGGGCGCACACAUACCUUAUCUUCUUUUGCCACAUUCCUGGCAAUAUGCAGAAUUCUUUCAUCUGUUCGAUCCCUCGUGAUCCAGAUCUGAACAUGAAAACGGAGACUGUCCAGUUCAUGUUUCGUCUGAGCUUGACAUCAUUCCAGGUUAACUGAGAAGCGCCCACUGGAUGGUGCUUAGUUUUUGCGCUGUACGGAACAUCCUUGGUGGCAGACUGCUGAAGAAGGAAGUCAGGAAGUUCGGAGGCCUCGAUU